AUGCUCCAUGAGGGGGAGAAAGACCAACGCAAGGCUCAGAUACACAAACAGGCCAUUUUAGAACGAGUACCACAGGGUGCAGGUGGCAGGAGACGGCCCGGGCUCCGGAGGACUUCCUGGAAGAGGAGGCAUUUGGGGACUGCCUUGCCUGACAGUGGAACCCAGCAAGUGGCUAGCGGGGGCUGUGGUCUCGGAGGACAAGGGACUGGGGUCCCACCUGGGGGUGGUGAGCAGAACAGCUACGCCCUCCCCCAGGGCAGCUCCGCUGUGCCCGUGCUGGGCUGUGCAGGAUCAGGCAAAGCCUCCUGCUGUUGGUUUCAUUCCCCGGUGUGUCCCUGCAGGUGCACGCAUGCCGACACGGGAGGAGGGCUGUACCCACGGCGGGAAUCCUGCCCAGCUGCAGCCUGGCACAUGACCACCUGCACCCGCCUCCCGCUCCCCACGCUCUGGCGGGGGCAGGAGCCCCUCCACCGCCCCAAGUCACCCCGCUCAGCCCUGGAGCACAGACUCAGCCCGGGCCCUGCAUGUUUAAUUAAAAUGGAAUCACAGCUCACCCAGGACGCAGGGCCAGACAAAAGGCCCCUUCAGGCGGGAGCCGGCUCCCCUUACAGCGUGGCCAGAUGGGCGAAGCUCGCGAGCCUCUGCUUGCAAGCUGCGGACAGGCUGGGUGCUCUGCUCCCUCCCGCGCAGCAAGACCCCCACCCUCUGUCCUGGGCUUGGUCAGGGGCCUGGGGACCCCCGUGCAAAUGUCCUGGGGCACCUGGCAGCUGCUCACCUUAGCUGCCAGGAAACUGACCUUCAUGGGGACGUGGUGGGAGGACGGUGUUGGGAUGAUGAGUGAGCCACGGGGACCAGACGGAGGCUGCACAGAAGCCCAGAUGAAGGUCGGGGCAGGGCAAGGCUGCAGAGUCCCCGGGGAAAAGGGCAGGCCCUGCAGGUACGACCUAGCGGCCAGGGCCCCCGACGCUCCCACCCUGCAUUUGAGCACCACCCCCCGAUUCUGACACCUGCAGACCCUCGGAGGCAGCACCGGGUGCACACGGUGAGUGAGCCGGAGCCCUCACGGAGACAGGGAGCCCAAGGUACACCAGGCACGGCCCUCGGGCUGCCUGGAGGCAGGGGCUUCUCAGGACCUCCGACAACCAGGAGACGGGCAGCGUGCCUGGCCAAGGGUAGCAGCAAAGGGGGCGUGUCCCCACAGGCCGUGACCUCUGAGGGUGCUGCAGGAACAUGCAGGGUUAGCACAGGUAAGCAGAGUCGGGGGCACCCUAAUAAUGGGACCACCCACUGGGCUGCCCCAGGGAGGCCCUGAAGCCCACAGUGGCACCGGACAAAUCGGCCCCUUGGUGAGGGGAGUAGUGGUCAGGGGGCCAGGGCUCCUCAUCUGCAGCGCUGAGCAGCGUGACAGCCGACCGGAGGCUGUAAGACCCUCUUGGACCCUCGGGAGCCACCAUGGCGGCCCCUGCAGCGGGGGAGGGGGGGAGGGGCUGCCUGCUUGUUUUUCCUGAUUUUCUCCAGCAGGGCUGCUCUGGUGCACAGCUCAUUAAUAUGGGAUUAGAGGGUGUUCAGCUGCCCCACCCUGGUGGUGACCCGGGCAGCCUGGAGGCCCAGGGGCGGGGAGGGGGGUCCUGGCCCAGAGGGUGCCAGCAGCUCUCCUGGAGGCUGGGAUGCCCUCUGAGGACCCCCUGCACCUGCCCCCCUCCUGCCCUAGGCCCUCUCUGCACCUUGCCAAGAGGGAGACAGAGAGGAGAACGGAAUGAGCCCGUUAAGGAGUCCGUGG
Molecule: long non-coding RNA, 1780 nt
Filed under: Oryctolagus cuniculus (rabbit)
Lineage: Eukaryota; Metazoa; Chordata; Mammalia; Lagomorpha; Leporidae
Description: lncRNA (ENSOCUG00000037072.1)
Source: RNAcentral